UACGUAGGGUGCAAGCGUUGUCCGGAAUUAUUGGGCGUAAAGAGCUCGUAGGCGGUUUGUCGCGUCUGCUGUGAAAACUCGGGGCUUAACUCCGGGCCUGCAGUGGGUACGGGCAGACUAGAGUGCGGUAGGGGAGACUGGAAUUCCUGGUGUAGCGGUGAAAUGCGCAGAUAUCAGGAGGAACACCGGUGGCGAAGGCGGUCUGCUGGGGUCGAACUGACGCUGAUGCGCGACAGCGUGGGGAGCAAACAGG
Molecule: ribosomal RNA, 253 nt
Filed under: uncultured bacterium
Lineage: Bacteria
Description: partial 16S ribosomal RNA
Rfam family: Bacterial small subunit ribosomal RNA
Source: RNAcentral